This 460-nucleotide ribosomal RNA is filed under the name uncultured bacterium. RNAcentral's name for it is "partial 16S ribosomal RNA". It matches the Rfam family "Bacterial small subunit ribosomal RNA", at positions 338 to 795 of the family's 1533-position model. The record is from RNAcentral.
CCUACGGGGUGCAGCAGUGAGGAAUAUUGGUCAAUGGACGAGAGUCUGAACCAGCCAAGUAGCGUGAAGGAUGACUGCCCUAUGGGUUGUAAACUUCUUUUAUAUGGGAAUAAAAUGUUCCACAUGUGGGAUUUUGUAUGUACCAUAUGAAUAAGGAUCGGCUAACUCCGUGCCAGCAGCCGCGGUAAUACGGAGGAUCCGAGCGUUAUCCGGAUUUAUUGGGUUUAAAGGGAGCGUAGGUGGAUUGUUAAGUCAGUUGUGAAAGUUUGCGGCUCAACCGUAAAAUUGCAGUUGAAACUGGCAGUCUUGAGUACAGUAGAGGUGGGCGGAAUUCGUGGUGUAGCGGUGAAAUGCUUAGAUAUCACGAAGAACUCCGAUUGCGAAGGCAGUUCACUGGACUGCAACUGACACUGAGGCUCGAAAGUGUGGGUAUCAAACAGGAUUAGAUACCCUUGUAGUC